Molecule: ribosomal RNA, 253 nt
Filed under: uncultured bacterium
Lineage: Bacteria
Description: partial 16S ribosomal RNA
Rfam family: Bacterial small subunit ribosomal RNA
Source: RNAcentral
UACGUAGGGGGCUAGCGUUGUCCGGAAUCAUUGGGCGUAAAGAGCGCGUAGGCGGCCAGAUAAGUCCGGUGUGAAAGUCACAGGCUCAACCUGUGAAUGCCGCUGGAAACUGUCGGGCUAGAGUGCAGAAGGGGCAACUGGAAUUCUCGGUGUAGCGGUGAAAUGCGUAGAUAUCGAGAGGAACACCUGCGGCGAAGGCGGGUUGCUGGGCUGACACUGACGCUGAGGCGCGAAAGCCAGGGGAGCGAACGGG